Non-coding RNA from Microcebus murinus (gray mouse lemur), 3003 nucleotides. NCBI's taxonomy places the organism in Eukaryota, Metazoa, Chordata, Mammalia, Primates, Cheirogaleidae. The record is from RefSeq and is a predicted model, not a curated record.
AAAUAAGCCCUAGGGUGUCUUCUUGAGGAAAAAUAAGUAUAAGACCCUGUCUUAUUUUCAGGAAAACAUGGUAGCUAUAUAGCCACAGGCCCAAUUCUUUUCUGCUGUUCUUUAACAUUUUACUUUGAAAUAAUUUAGACUUACAAAAGUUGCCAAGAUAUUACAAAGAAUUUCCUGUAUACCCUCCACCAGCUUCUCCAAUGUUAGGACUUUACCACUUGCCUUCCUAGUCCCUCUCCAGCUAUACAUUUUUUCCUGAGCUAUGGGAGAAUAAGUUGCAUACAUUGCAGCCCUCCACCGCUAAAUUCUUCAGCGUGUGUUUCCUAAAGUCAAAGACAAAGGCAUUUCUCACAUAGCCACGCUAUAAUCAUCUGCAUGAAAACGAACGUGGACAUGGUCCGAUCACACUCCAGACAGUCUCGCAGUCUCGCCAGUGCUUUUAUAGAAAAGAAGAAAAUUGUUUUUUUGGUCCAGGGUGCCAUGGAGGCAUUCAGGUGGCAUUUCACCUCCCGCAGCUUGGGACAGCUCUGUACUCCGUCUGUCCUUCAUGCCCUUGAAAACUCCUCGUUAUUACCGACUUAUUAUUAGCUGGAAAUCCAGCGAGGAAGCCGUGUUACUUCACUUGCAAAUUCUUUUCUAAAUGACAGGCACUAUUUUCUCCAGCCCCAGAGUGCUGGAGAGAGCUGGCUCUUAGGGAUGCUCCCCUGACAUGAGCCUGAGAGUCUGCAGCAGCCUGCUGGCCUCGUGGGGCCGGCGCCCAGCCACCCUGCACAUCGCCGAUGCCCCGGGAAGAUGGCCAAAACAACAGGCAUCAUGAAGGCCCUUACUCUUCCCUUGGCUCAUUUUCCCCUGUUCUCUGCUUUAGUUUGGGCUCCCAACUAGAAAGUUAGGAACUCAAAGCGAAAAGCUGUGCAAGAAAGGAAAUGUCGCCAGAACGCCCUGCUGGGCCCUGCCCGCUCCCAGCUGCGGCUCUGCUCCUGGGAUCCUUGCAGAACCCACUUCCAGACACAGCGCAGAAGCCUCGGUCGAGAGUGCCCAGCAGAAAGCCCACGUCAUCAAAUUCAGUUUGGUCACAGACAGAGCUACACAGCCAGCAGGAGGGCUGGGGACAGCCAUGUCACUGUGUGGGCGGGGAGGCCAGACGGCUGCAGAGGACAGCCUUGUGCCUUCCCUGGUGAGAUCACGAGAUCCCACUGAAAAGCUCAGGCCCGGGCACAGGGUGUGCACACACCCCGGGUGAUGCGGACAUACCUGCAGAGGCACAGGUGGAAGGACCCAUAUGCUGGCUCUGGGCAGGGAGUGCGGCUGGAAGCUUUGUUCCUAUUAUGCGUCUUGCUGUGCCCCACAAGUGUCAUUGCCUUGAUACGUUUUUUUAAAGACCAGUGAACUCAGAGGAACUGGAUCCUUGUCUUGGUUUCUUGUCUGGGGAUAGCUCCCUGCCUGCUUGAUAAUGAGUAUAUGCUUCACCUGCCCCCGUCCCCCCGCAGAGUUGCUGCAAGGCUCAAGGAACAUAUUUAGUAUUUACUAAUCUCUGUGUUCCAAGUUGUGGCAGUAGUACUAGUAUUGCAUUAUUAUUCUUAAAACAGUGCAAAAACAAACAUACAUUAAGACACUAAUGAGAGCCAUGUGACAUCACUGAAACAGAGAGAGAAUGUUAUUAGGGAAAAUUUGGGGUGGGCUCAGAUAAGGUGAGGUGUGUAUUCACAAAGGUGCUAGUCACAGUGAGGUUGCACACGAGCAGUACGUGGACAUAAUUACUCAAAGGGUCAUGCCCUUGACCCACUCCCUCCAUUUCUGAAAAUGUAUUCCCUGGAAGUAAUUAUUGAUGUACACGAGUACAUCUAAUGGAACCAACCAAGAUGUCAACAACAGAAAACUAAGUAAUAAAAUGUGGUACUUAAUUGUGCUGUCAUACCUGCAGCAACAUAGGAAAUGUUUAUGCUGCUACAAGCAGGCAAUAAAAGUACACUUACACUACAUUAUAGCCAUGUAAAAAACGAUGUGCACAAGGACAAUGGGAGAUCAUUUUCUAGGUUUUCACUCAUUUCUCUAUUCAACGACCAUUUGCACUCCGCGAUGUCCCAGGCCCUUUGGGGAGCCCAAGAGAGAUAGCUGGGGGUCUGGUGCCACCGUUCCCAGGCAGUUGUCGCUGCACAGGAGAAAUGAUGGUGAUGCACAGCAUUUUCUCUCCAGAGAAACUUGUUUUAAGGGACAUAAUCUCUGAUCAGGAACCGUGAUGGCAGACGGCUGUCCCCGCAAUCAGGAAGCCACAGAGGUGGACACAAUGAAGCUGGAAGAGGUGGAUUUAGGAAGGACUGUUUCACAAAAUAUGCAGUGAAUCUGUGACCUUUGUUUGCCCUGAGAAUUGUACAAAAUGAAUACACAAAUAGGUUCCCAAAGCUUUAAGUGUACUGACCAAUGCCAGAUCUGUCAAGUGGUGUCUGGGGGAACAUGGCUGUCGCCAUUGUGAGCAAGCGAGCCCUUGUGUCACAGAGGCCCAACUACCACCAGAAGCCAGGAGGCCAAGGCCUUUGUCCUCCACUCCUGUGCACCCCUGCCUGAGGGUUGCUGCCAGAGGUCCCUCCCCACCCUUCCCUGCACACAGGUGGACCUGGGGCUGGGGGACACAGGCAGACAUUCGGAUGUGUCCUUGAACCUGGAUGUUGACAGCAUGGAGGAUGGUCCUGCAUCUUUGGGAUUUUCCCUGGCCUACUGGGUUCCUGAGCUUGGGGGCACCCUACCCAGGGCAGGUGCAUCCAGAGAGGGGAGUCUUCCUCAGGGACCACAGGUGCUGGGCAAUGAGGAGGCCACUCUCCUUGGGACUAGAGACACCAGAAGGAUUUGGGAGGGAGCAGAAUAAGCUUGGACAUGUUACCUACUUCCGCAGAUGAAAUGUGAGAGGAAGCGAUCCCGUCACCUCCAGGUGGACAUGUUAAAAACUAGUAAAGACAGAGCUUCAGUGCAGUAAAUAAUGACCCAGUUUCUCCAGGAAGCUGUGGAAUG